RNAcentral lists this ribosomal RNA (484 nucleotides) under uncultured bacterium. Its description in RNAcentral is "partial 16S ribosomal RNA". It matches the Rfam family "Bacterial small subunit ribosomal RNA", at positions 30 to 507 of the family's 1533-position model. The record is from RNAcentral.
AUUGAACGCUGGCGGCAGGCCUAACACAUGCAAGUCGAGCGGAUGAAGGGAGCUUGCUCCUGGAUUCAGCGGCGGACGGGUGAGUAAUGCCUAGGAAUCUGCCUGGUAGUGGGGGAUAACGUCCGGAAACGGGCGCUAAUCCCGCAUACGUCCUGAGGGAGAAAGUGGGGGAUCUUCGGACCUCACGCUAUCAGAUGAGCCUAGGUCGGAUUAGCUAGUUGGUGGGGUAAAGGCCUACCAAGGCGACGAUCCGUAACUGGUCUGAGAGGAUGAUCAGUCACACUGGAACUGAGACACGGUCCAGACUCCUACGGGAGGCAGCAGUGGGGAAUAUUGGACAAUGGGCGAAAGCCUGAUCCAGCCAUGCCGCGUGUGUGAAGAAGGUCUUCGGAUUGUAAAGCACUUUAAGUUGGGAGGAAGGGCAGUAAGUUAAUACCCUGCUGUUUUGACGUUACCAACAGAAUAAGCACCGGCUAACUUCGUG